This 497-nucleotide ribosomal RNA is filed under the name uncultured bacterium. Its description in RNAcentral is "partial 16S ribosomal RNA". It matches the Rfam family "Bacterial small subunit ribosomal RNA", at positions 28 to 507 of the family's 1533-position model. The record is from RNAcentral.
GAUGAACGCUGGCGGCGUGCCUAAUACAUGCAAGUCGAGCGAACGGACGAGAAGCUUGCUUCUCUGAUGUUAGCGGCGGACGGGUGAGUAACACGUGGAUAACCUACCUAUAAGACUGGGAUAACUUCGGGAAACCGGAGCUAAUACCGGAUGAUAUUUUGAACCGCAUGGUUCAAAAUUGAAAGACGGUCUUGCUGUCACUUAUAGAUGGAUCCGCGCUGCAUUAGCUAGUUGGUAAGGUAACGGCUUACCAAGGCAACGAUGCAUAGCCGACCUGAGAGGGUGAUCGGCCACACUGGAACUGAGACACGGUCCAGACUCCUACGGGAGGCAGCAGUAGGGAAUCUUCCGCAAAGGGCGAAAGCCUGACGGAGCAACGCCGCGUGAGUGAUGAAGGUCUUCGGAUCGUAAAACUCUGUUAUUAGGGAAGAACAUAUGUGUAAGUAACUGUGCACAUCUUGACGGUACCUAAUCAGAAAGCCACGGCUAACUACGUG